UACGAAGGGGGCUAGCGUUGCUCGGAAUCACUGGGCGUAAAGCGCACGUAGGCGGACUCUUAAGUCGGUGGUGAAGUCCUGGAGCUCAACUCCAGAACUGCCUUCGAUACUGAGAGUCUCGAGUCCGGGAGAGGUGAGUGGAACUGCGAGUGUAGAGGUGAAAUUCGUAGAUAUUCGCAAGAACACCAGUGGCGAAGGCGGCUCACUGGCCCGGUACUGACGCUGAGGUGCGAAAGCGUGGGGAGCAAACAGG
This 253-nucleotide ribosomal RNA is filed under the name uncultured bacterium. Its description in RNAcentral is "partial 16S ribosomal RNA". It matches the Rfam family "Bacterial small subunit ribosomal RNA", at positions 524 to 776 of the family's 1533-position model. The record is from RNAcentral.